GCCUGCUCCACCCUAGAGAGAGUCAGAAAAUGCCAGUCAGAUGUUAUUUGGACAGUGUAUCACUGCAGUUACACCAACUUCUGUAUGCCUGUAACAUAAAAGAGGACAGCAAAGCCAGGAACUGCUGGAACAGUGGCAGGACAAAAACUGAAGAGAAAUGUGUUUCACAUGGAAACCGAAUAAAAAAAAUAAGACAAAUGUUACUAGGUUAACCCCAAAGUCCUUGAAACCUAUAGUUAAGCUGUGAAUCAGAUACAGAUUUCUGAGAUAACAUUUCAGAAGUCAGCGAAGUUUGGUGCCUCUGUUGUGGAGGCAAUUGCAGCCUGGCUAGAAAGCUGGCAAUGCCUUCCCUUCUGAGAAGUAAAAAGUCAUGUCCAAAUAUGAUGAUCCCUAGUUUGUGUUAAAUUUUUGCUUAUAUUGCUGUAAAUUUCUUAUGAUAAUUCAUGCCAUUUUACCAAAGGCUAAAACACAUUAUAAAACCUCAGAUAAUACUUUUAUUUAAGAGCUUCCUUUCCACUUGUUGAUAGUCAUGGAGUGGGUAUACAGCUCCACAUUACUGAAAGUAAGUCUUCCUUACCUUCUCAUACAUGAUUUUCAAAUGGGAAGCCUUCCAUGAUGAAAAUUAAAAAGUGAACAUAUUGUUGCCACAAUAUGUCACUGAGGCUAAAAAACCAGUAAGAAUCAAACUGGGCUAGGCAUAAGGAAAAUAACUGUAGUUCUAAAGAACCGGGUGCCAAAGGUAUAAGGGACAGGGUACCCGCUUCACCCUCCCACUGUCCGAUAAGGACCAGGCAGAAAUGUGCGCUCUCUUGGCACACAGCUGCCUAAAAUCUGACAGAGGUCCCGCGGGUGCCCGCAGUCUGCCCGGCGCUGACAGAGGCAGCCUGAGCCGCAUGGACUACUGUUACCAUCUGGUGUGGCAACUCCUGUAUGAAUAAUUUAAAACCAGAAGCUGGGAGAUGAGCUCAGCAGCAGCUUUUCCUUGACCUCUGCAGAUCUGUGAUGCUCGGCGCUAACUGCUGGCCCAGAGGAAGCAUGCAGCAGACCGGACUUCCUCCUCCUGUUUUGCAGCAGUCCUAUCAAUUAGGGUAAGAUCUCACAGGAUCAAGGAAGGGGAGAACCCACUUUGGACCUAUGUAUAUCUCUUCCAAAACAGAGUGGAAGAUGCUCAUGCAUAGCAUGAGUAAAUGGUUGCAUUGACCGCAACCCACCUGGCAGCCUGCUGAGCUACAGUGCUUUGUAAUUCACCAGGAGCUCCCCAUGGGAUCCAUAGCUGCUCCACAGUCUGAAAAUAGUCUGCUGCUCUCAUGGACACAACCGAAUGAGACUGCUAGCUGCUUGCGUGAAUGCUGCACAAACUUUUUUUUCCUUUCUUGAAUAGAAACAACAAAAAAGAGGCCAAUGUGCAAAUGCAUCGUGGGACAUCAUGGCACCACCAAGUCUGUAACUACACAUUGUGAUAUAGCACUUUCCACAAACACAGACAUCUGAAUACAGAUUAAAAUAGCUGUUCAUAAGAGCACUGCUCUGAUUUCUGCCAACUAUGUAGCCUACUGCAAAACAGGAUGAAGAGCAAUACUUUAAAGAACACUGAAAUAAAGAAACAUUCCAGCUUUCACUGAAAAUUUCAGGGAGUUCUUACUUCUUCCGGAGCUGCUCAUACAGUGAGAACUGCAGUAGUUUUAGAAAACAAACUGAAAGACGGUCAGAAGAUGGGCUGGGUAUAUAGAGCCAUUCACCACACAGCAUGGGGAUUUUACCCCUUUCCUGUGCCUAUUGGACCCAGAGAUGUAAGGAAAAUAAUGGGUUUUGAGCCCCGCUUCUGAGGUUUGAAGGGUGCAGCUGCACGGGGCAGGCCGCGCUGCACAGGUCCCUGCG
This is a non-coding RNA of Struthio camelus australis, 1878 nucleotides long. The record is from RefSeq and is a predicted model, not a curated record. NCBI's taxonomy places the organism in Eukaryota, Metazoa, Chordata, Aves, Struthioniformes, Struthionidae.